Molecule: long non-coding RNA, 397 nt
Organism: Zophobas morio
Lineage: Eukaryota; Metazoa; Arthropoda; Insecta; Coleoptera; Tenebrionidae
Exons: 3
Source: RefSeq, a predicted model, not a curated record
UACGUUCCAGCAGACUUAAUUAUCUCCAUCAAGAAUCGUUAUGUUCUGUUUUCAAUCAACUUUUAAGUAUUGCACAGAAAAAGUCAUAUAUGGCUGAGAUUUCGUAUUCCAUCAUAAUUGAUAGUUUGAGUAGAGCUGAGGGGAAAACUUUUACAAACUGUUUAAUACCUAUAAUAAGAGAAUCUUUUUCUGAAUCGUUUCUAAACUGGUCUCCUGAAAUAUUUGCUCUAGCAUUAGCUCUACAGGCAAAAUUAAAGGACAACGAGCUGAAGAUUAUUUUCGGCGAAGAUUUUUUAAUCUUCCAAAGAAAAAAAUGUUCCGCGAUGAAAACGAUUCUUCUCUCGUGUUGUGAAAUUGAUAAAUCUUUGCAUAUCGCUUGGCAGCAAGUUUUACUUUA